GUGUUUGUUGUGGCGAGGGACCAGCGCUACUGUUGCACCGUCUGGGACCUGAUCAGCAAGAAGAAACAAUUAGGAACCUGGAACUACCAAUCACAAUUUUACUUUGAACCCAGCAUCUUGUCACAGGGGGCCUGUGGAACUGCCAGUCUGCAACCCGCAAGGCCGAGUUAAAUUCUGGCUAUGCAUUCUCGCUGUCCGUGGACUUUCUUGCUCUCACCGAGAAUUGGCUAACUCCUGACCCACCCCCCCAACAAAGCUGUCAGGUGCCAUGUGGUGUGAAUGGAUUCUCACCCAGAUCCAGUGAGUCAGCAUGGGGUCGGUGGGAGAAGGAGGUACCCUUGAAUACCUGAUCCAGCAGCUUCUCCUUCACCUGUGUGAUGGUAUCACAGUCCAGCACUUUGGAGGGCAGCGGCUGAGUCUCAUUAACGCCUCCGCCCUGCACUAACACAUUCACAG
Scophthalmus maximus (turbot) is the source of this 456-nucleotide long non-coding RNA. RefSeq lists it as uncharacterized. The transcript has 3 exons. Lineage: Eukaryota; Metazoa; Chordata; Actinopteri; Pleuronectiformes; Scophthalmidae. The record is from RefSeq and is a predicted model, not a curated record.